GCCGGGUGUGGUGGCACAUACCUGUAAUCCCAGUGGCUUCGGAGGCUGAGGCAGGAGGAUCAUGAGUUCAAAGAGAGCCUCAGCAAAAGCUAGGUGCUAAGCUACUCAGUGAGACCCUGUCUAUA
RNAcentral lists this small RNA (125 nucleotides) under Marmota monax (woodchuck). Lineage: Eukaryota; Metazoa; Chordata; Mammalia; Rodentia; Sciuridae. The record is from RNAcentral.